GUCCGUUCAACAAAUGCAAUAGUGUUUCAACUGGACGAACAACCAACGUUCGCCUAACGUCCAUCUGACGCAUGUUGCGUUACCAGUUGUAGAUCAAACUUUUACUGAAUGAAGGGGAGGGACUGAACUCCUCAGGAAGCUGGAAGGCAGAACUUUAUUUCAAUGAACCCUCCGGUGACUCUUUUACACAUUUACCUCUGUGUGUCCUGCUGACUGACAACCCCCUCAGUGGACCAGUUUGCUGAGGAUUUUUUAUUUGAUUUUUUUUAGAAAUCCCACGAUGAGCGUCGGUGGCAGCAGCAGGGAGAGGAUGCUCUGCAUGGGGUGGAAAGUUUUCAGAUAAGGUGCAACAAGCUGGUGUUUAGACAAGUCUGUUCGCGCCGUCUUCACGAGCAGAUAAUUUUGGUGUUUCGCUCUGGAAGUACUGGCCUCAGGAGAAGUUUUGCCCUCCCACUGAAGCCAAUGUGGACACGACGAUGAAUGAUCCAACGACGACGAAAAAUUCGCCAAUGAGAGACGUACCUCCGACCGUCUUUGUUCUUCUGUUCAUUUCUGGGGUGGUCGGGAAUCUCAUCGCCAUCGCAGUUUUGUGCAGAACUCGCAGAAAGAAAAGGGAGACCAUGUUUUACACGCUCGUAUAUGGCCUGGUCGUGACGGACCUCAUCGGCACGCUGCUGACCACUCCGGUCACUAUAGCCACUUACGCACAGGGACAGUGGGUCGGAGGGGACCCGCUGUGCCAGUACAUGGGCUUCGACUUGCUCUUCUUCUCCCUGACGGGACUCAGCAUCAUAUUUGCCAUGUCUGUGGACAGAUACAUCGCCGUAAACUAUCCCUACUUCUACAACAACCAUGUGAAAAAGAAGCAUGCCGGACACACCCUGGUGGCCAUCUAUAUCUCCAACGCGCUCUUCUGCGCGUUACCCGCCAUGGGCUUCGGGCAGGUGGUGAUUCAACACCCGCAAAGCUGGUGCUUCUUGGAUUGGCGAACCAAACAUACCACCCAUGCCGUCUACUGUUAUAUGUACGCCGGAGUCAGCAUUUUUCUCAUCUUCUUCACUGUCGUCUUUAACGUGCUGCUGUGCGUGGUUCUGCUCCGGAUGCACAAGCGCUUAUUGCGCAGGAUGUCGCAGGCAACCGACGCCGGGCGCAGCGUGGACUCGCGGAGGAAAUCGAUGAUCUUCGUACAUCUGGCCGACUCAGAGAUUCAGAUGGUGCUUGUGCUCGUGGCCACAACGGUGGUGGUGCUCAUCUGCUCCAUCCCACUUGUACCACUCUGAGAGAGAACAGGUCACCGAGGGUCAAAUGUUCAGGGAGGAAAUCCAGACAACACUCUCCUCAGCAACAACUUCUAGUUCACUCCAGCUGUUCCUGGGCCAGAAGUCCCUCCAGCUAACUUCAUGUCUGCCAUGUGAUGUUUCAGAAAAACCUGAUCAGAAACGCACCGGUCCCUCCUGCAACAAGAGCAUGAUCUCGCCAUCUUUGUGGUGUUCUCUGGCUGUCGACAACGACUUCAGCCAACAGCUUUACAAGAUCUUUUGCUUUUGUUCCGGAGUUUCUAAGGAAAUUUCACACCAAAGUACAUGUGUCACAGAGUCUCCUUUCUGAAUUUCAUGAUGGUUUUUCAACAGAUCAACCUAACAUCUUCAGAUAAAAGCCAAAAAUGGAAAGUCAAAAAUGUCAACAUUAAGUACAUGCAAAUAUAGAUUUUAAGGCUGUUUUAGGUAUUUCUUUGUCUGUAGUAAUAGUUUGUGUUUAUCAUCCCUGUAUUUAUUUUUUAUGCUUUAACAUCAACCUGGCAAUGGGACUAGCGGUAGAAAUGAAAUACCUGGCAGUAA
RNA transcript from Gambusia affinis (western mosquitofish), 1838 nucleotides. It is a transcript of the gene named prostaglandin E2 receptor EP4 subtype-like, with no coding region annotated. The record is from RefSeq and is a predicted model, not a curated record. The transcript is spliced from 3 exons. NCBI's taxonomy places the organism in Eukaryota, Metazoa, Chordata, Actinopteri, Cyprinodontiformes, Poeciliidae.